Molecule: ribosomal RNA, 255 nt
Filed under: uncultured bacterium
Lineage: Bacteria
Description: partial 16S ribosomal RNA
Rfam family: Bacterial small subunit ribosomal RNA
Source: RNAcentral
UACGUAGGGCGCAAGCGUUGUCCGGAAUUAUUGGGCGUAAAGAGCUCGUAGGCGGUUUGUCGCGUCUGCUGUGAAAACCUAAGGCUCAACCUUGGGCUUGCAGUGGGUACGGGCAGACUAGAGUGCGGUAGGGGUGACUGGAAUUCCUGGUGUAGCGGUGGAAUGCGCAGAUAUCAGGAGGAACACCGAUGGCGAAGGCAGGUCACUGGGCCGCAACUGACGCUGAGGAGCGAAAGCGUGGGGGAGCGAACGGGG